GAUGAACGCUGGCGGCGUGCCUAAUACAUGCAAGUCGAGCGAAGCGAGGACGGGUGAGUACUACGUGGAUACCCUCAUUUAAGACUGGGAUAACUUCGGGAAACCGGAGCUAAACCGGAUCCUUAUAGUUGGAUCCGCGCUGCAUUAGCUAGUUGGUAAGGUAACGGCUUACCAAGGCAACGAUGCGUAGCCGACCUGAGAGGGUGAUCGGCCACACUGGAACUGAGACACGGUCCAGACUCCUACGGGAGGCAGCAGUAGGGAAUCUUCGGCAAUGGGCGAAAGCCUGACGGAGCAACGCCGCGGGAGUGAUGAAGGUCUUCGGAUCGUAAAACUCUGUUAUUAGGGAAGCGGUACCUAAUCAGAAAGCCACGGCUAACUACGUGCCAGCAGCCGCGGUAAUUC
This 405-nucleotide ribosomal RNA is filed under the name uncultured bacterium. RNAcentral's name for it is "partial 16S ribosomal RNA". It matches the Rfam family "Bacterial small subunit ribosomal RNA", at positions 28 to 526 of the family's 1533-position model. The record is from RNAcentral.